Molecule: ribosomal RNA, 508 nt
Filed under: uncultured bacterium
Lineage: Bacteria
Description: bacterial SSU rRNA
Rfam family: Bacterial small subunit ribosomal RNA
Source: RNAcentral
GACGAACGCUGGCGGCGUGGAUUAGGCAUGCAAGUCGAACGGUAUCAUCCUUUCGGGGGUGAGAGAGUGGCGAACUGGUGAGUAACACGUAGGUUAUCUACCCUCAAGACGGGGACAACCCAGGGAAACUUGGGCUAAUACCGGAUGUGAGCAACUUUUAGUUGUUUGAAAGGUGGCGUAAGCUGUCGCUUGGGGAUGAGCCUGCGUCCUAUUAGUUAGUUGGUGAGGUAACGGCUCACCUAGGCAAUGAUAGGUAGGCGGCCUUAACGGGUGGUCGCCCACACUGGGAUUGAGAUACGGCCCAGACUCCUACGGGAGGCAGCAGUCGAGAAUAGUCUACAAUGGUCGGAAGACUGAUAGUGCGACGCCGCGUGAACGAUGAAUCCCUUCGGGGUGUAAAGUUCUUUUAUAUGUGAGCAGUGCUUCUUAUAUUAACAGUAUGGGGAGAGAGAUAUUAGCAUAUGAAUAAGCAACGGCUAACUCCGUGCCAGCAGCCGCGGUAAGCUCG